AGUGUGAAAUUUCAUGCAUUGACAUUUGCGUUUCGUGCACUGCCCAAACCCAACUUUACGAUUAAGCGACGCGUGAGCAAAAAAGAGGAGCACGACUUGGAGAUACCCCUGGCCGAGAUGCCGUAUCAGAGGACUUCGAGCUGUCUUCUCAUCAUAUUUUCAGAGAUCGACGAGUUCACACAGACAAGCAGACAUGGGUCGGAGUUGAUUUCUUAUGUCUGUUACAUACGUUUGCACAAAAACUCCAUACCCUUUUUUACCUCAUCUUAUUGCCGUGUCCAGAGUCAAAAAGUUACAAAAAAGCAAGCAAGAAACUGUACAUAGGGAAGAGAUGGCCGCGCCUUGCCACCUGGCACCGAAAAAGAACUGAUAAGUGCACCCACUAACCCUUUGGGCAGCGCCGCUCUCCCCUCUGAGCACGCAAUCCUUGAUGCUUUAAUUCGCACUGCUUUACGUUGCUUCCCUUGUUAGAAAUACAGCAAUGUACAAGAUUUCAUUAAUGCCAAUAGGGUCUGCACUCGACUCGUUACUCGUUACUCGCCAAUCGCCGCUCGCCACUCGCUAAUCGUCUGCCAGGUGAUUCGGACUGAACGGCACGUAUGUAAAUGCUUCAUUGCCCAGCCGCCACACAUGUGUGUAUUUUCUACACUAACUGGCAGCACUGCAAUAAGCUCAGGUACAGUUAUGCACGGUUACGGGCAGUUAAGCCGUCUGGCAACGCAUUGUAAUGUUCAUAUUUUGCAUAUCGUACUUAUGUUUAUACUCUGUUUACAAAGCGAAAUAACGAUAUCUCUUGAUGACAUUGUUGGGUAACCCAGUCCACGGUGUUUAUGGACUAUGGUGGGUAUAUCACAGUCUUGUAUACCCAACUGCAAUAUUCCUAUUUGCAUAUAAAUAUGUUAAUACGGAACCAGCAUACCCGCAGCUGCAUUUGUCACUGGCUUUUAUAAUGCACAAUAUUUAUAUGCAAAUAUCUGACACAUUGACCGGAUUUGGUUCAACACGCCCGAUAAUAGUUAUCAGCUAGUAGCAUAUGUGAACCCCUCCUCUGCCCCACACAGAGCCAAUAAAUAAACUUUACGUAUUCACAUUCAUAAACGUA
This is a long non-coding RNA of Drosophila virilis, 1102 nucleotides long. RefSeq lists it as uncharacterized. The record is from RefSeq and is a predicted model, not a curated record. Lineage: Eukaryota; Metazoa; Arthropoda; Insecta; Diptera; Drosophilidae.